UACGUAGGGCGCAAGCGUUGUCCGGAAUUAUUGGGCGUAAAGAGCUCGUAGGCGGUUUGUCACGUCGGCUGUGAAAACCCGAGGCUCAACCUCGGGCCUGCAGUCGAUACGGGCAGACUAGAGUGCUGUAGGGGAGACUGGGAAUUCCUGGUGUAGCGGUGAAAUGCGCAGAUAUCAGGAGGAACACCGGUGGCGAAGGCGGGUCUCUGGGGCAGUAACUGACGUGAGGAGCGAAAGCGUGGGGAGCAAACAGG
This 254-nucleotide ribosomal RNA is filed under the name uncultured bacterium. Its description in RNAcentral is "partial 16S ribosomal RNA". It matches the Rfam family "Bacterial small subunit ribosomal RNA", at positions 524 to 776 of the family's 1533-position model. The record is from RNAcentral.